Molecule: long non-coding RNA, 742 nt
Organism: Bolinopsis microptera
Lineage: Eukaryota; Metazoa; Ctenophora; Tentaculata; Lobata; Bolinopsidae
Exons: 3
Source: RefSeq, a predicted model, not a curated record
AGCAUCAUCAAAACUAAAAUGAUGGACAUGGGGAGCUGCUGCAAACUCAUCUCAAACCAAGAUGCUUCAAGUGUUUACAAGCAUAUUAUAAAUGGUACCGGGGACAGUCUCUGUGGUUUGAAUACAGAGGAGAAGGCUAAAAUUAUGCAGUGGGUACAAUAUAGCUACCAAAUGCAAGAAAAGAAGAUGCCAAUGUACAGAUAUGCAGAUGAAAUCAACAGUUUUCUAGCCACAAAGACAUUCAUGGUUGGAAAUUCUAUAACUAUAGCGGAUAUUGCCAUUGCUUUGGGAAUAUAUAAAUACCUCGGGAAGCUGCUAAUAACUCCAGAAAUUCAGUGGGAAUUUUCCAGCCUUGUAAGAUGGUACAACAUGAUUCAAUCAUCCAACUCUUGGAUUCAUCCUCAAAUUGAGUUCUUCAGAAGACCCUUUUAUUGCUGAUAUCAUUCACCACAUUUAUUGGGUAGAUAUUGGAACUCUAUUGUGGGCUUUGUUAUUUGAAUCUAGUAGUUAUAAAUCCUUGUAUCUAAGUUACUUUCACUCAACUUAAUAAUAGUUUUUCAUCAAAAAUCUUGUGCAUUGGCACAAGUGUUUUAUUAAAACCUACAUUUUAAAGGUGGGUCAUAUUUUUAGUUAAAUCUGUUUGGUAACUUAUAUGUAACUUUGUUGUAAUUUUCUUUAAGUCGAAUUCGCUGCCAAAGAUUACAAAAAACUACAUUCUAGAAUCUACAAUCAUUCUGGACAA